AUUGAACGCUGGCGGCAGGCUUAACACAUGCAAGUCGAACGAGUGGCGGACGGGUGAGUAAUGGCUGGGAAUCUAUCUUAUGGAGGGGGAUAACUACGGGAAACUGUAGCUAAUACCGCGUACCAUAAGAUGAGCCCAAGGGGGAUUAGGUAGUUGGUGAGGUAAAGGCUCACCAAGCCGACGAUCUCUAGCUGGUCUGAGAGGAUGACCAGCCAUACUGGAACUGAGACACGGCCCCGACUCCUACGGGAGGCAGCAGUGGGGAAUAUUGCGCAAUGGGGGCAACCUGAUGCAGCCAUGCCGCGUGAAUGAAUAAGGCCUUCGGGUUGUAAAUUUCUUUCGGUGGCGCGGCGUUAACUACAGAAGAAGCACCUGCUAACUCCGUGCCAGCAGCCGCGGUAAUAC
This 405-nucleotide ribosomal RNA is filed under the name uncultured bacterium. RNAcentral's name for it is "partial 16S ribosomal RNA". It matches the Rfam family "Bacterial small subunit ribosomal RNA", at positions 30 to 526 of the family's 1533-position model. The record is from RNAcentral.